UACGUAGGGUGCAAGCGUUGUCCGGAAUUAUUGGGCGUAAAGAGCUCGUAGGCGGUUCGUCGCGUCGGCUGUGAAAAUCCGGAGCUUAACUCCGGGCCUGCAGUCGAUACGGGCGGACUUGAGUUCGGCAGGGGAGACUGGAAUUCCUGGUGUAGCGGUAAAAUGCGCAGAUAUCAGGAGGAACACCGGUGGCGAAGGCGGGUCUCUGGGCCGAUACUGACGCUGAGGAGCGAAAGCGUGGGGAGCGAACAGG
This 253-nucleotide ribosomal RNA is filed under the name uncultured Blastococcus sp. RNAcentral describes it as "partial 16S ribosomal RNA". It matches the Rfam family "Bacterial small subunit ribosomal RNA", at positions 524 to 776 of the family's 1533-position model. The record is from RNAcentral. Lineage: Bacteria; Bacillati; Actinomycetota; Actinomycetes; Geodermatophilales; Geodermatophilaceae.